CAUGUCAGAGGAGACAACACUUAGAUGUGCAAAUAAUCUGCAAUUUAUCAAUUUGUGCAUGAGAUAUGACACAUUUAUGUUCAACAACAAAUUGUGUGUAAUUGUAACUUGUGAACUUUCCCUUAUGUUUCAGGUUAUUAUUUAUUGUUUCAUGUUUCAGUUGGUUCAAGUUUAAUCUCAGUAAGGCACGGUGGAGGAAAAGGUACAGAGAGGGUCUGUGAGUUGGACUGGUCUGACUGCAGUUUGUUAGAUGAUGCUGCAUAUACUUCAGGACUCUGGACACUGGAUAAGGACACGGGGUUGUUGCUGAUUUGAUGUCCCUCAGAAGUGUGGACAGCGCCACAGGCCUCAGGUGUCAGAGUGUACUGACCAGCUGCCCAGCUCUGAAGAGAUGAAGGAUCUGGUUUACAAUCUGUUUGGUUAUCAUCUGUAAGAACAUACAACAAAACCAAAUCACAC
Long non-coding RNA from Epinephelus fuscoguttatus (brown-marbled grouper), 459 nucleotides. RefSeq lists it as uncharacterized. The record is from RefSeq and is a predicted model, not a curated record. The transcript is spliced from 3 exons. NCBI's taxonomy places the organism in Eukaryota, Metazoa, Chordata, Actinopteri, Perciformes, Serranidae.